Molecule: ribosomal RNA, 484 nt
Filed under: uncultured bacterium
Lineage: Bacteria
Description: partial 16S ribosomal RNA
Rfam family: Bacterial small subunit ribosomal RNA
Source: RNAcentral
AUUGAACGCUGGCGGCAGGCCUAACACAUGCAAGUCGAGCGGAUGAAGGGAGCUUGCUCCUGGAUUCAGCGGCGGACGGGUGAGUAAUGCCUAGGAAUCUGCCUGGUAGUGGGGGAUAACGUCCGGAAACGGGCGCUAAUACCGCAUACGUCCUGAGGGAGAAAGUGGGGGAUCUUCGGACCUCACGCUAUCAGAUGAGCCUAGGUCGGAUUAGCUAGUUGGUGGGGUAAAGGCCUACCAAGGCGACGAUCCGUAACUGGUCUGAGAGGAUGAGCAGUCACACUGGAACUGAGACACGGUCCAGACUCCUACGGGAGGCAGCAGUGGGGAAUGUUGGACAAUGGGCGAAAGCCUGAUCCAGCCAUGCCGCGUGUGUGAAGAAGGUCUUCGGAGUGUAAAGCACUUUAAGUUGGGAGGAAGGGCAGUAAGUUAAUACCUUGCUGUUUUGACGUUACCAACAGAAUAAGCACCGGCUAACUUCGUG